This 119-nucleotide ribosomal RNA is filed under the name Naegleria gruberi. The record is from RNAcentral. Lineage: Eukaryota; Heterolobosea; Eutetramitea; Acrasida; Naegleriidae.
AAUGACUACCAUAUAACAAUGAAUACACCUCAUCCCGUCCGAUUUGAGAAGUUAAUCAUCGCUAGCCACAUUAUGAAUUGAGGUUGGAGACAAAUUGGGAACUUGUGGUGUUGUCGUCU